UGUGUGUGUGUGUGUGUGUGUGUGUGUUUGUGAUAUGUAGAAAAGUCUCUGUGUGUGUGUGUGUGUGUGUGUGUGUGUGUGUGUUUGUGAUAUGUAGAAAAGUCUGUGUGUGUGUGUGUGUGUGUGUGUGUGUGUGUGUGUGUUUGUGAUAUGUAUAAAAGUGAUUUUCAUUUAAUCCAUUUUUUCCAUUGUCAACAUUUAACCACGUGCCAUUUGUUCAGGUGAAGCACAUUUACACUCUCACACUCACAAACACACACACACACACUCUCACAUUCACACUCACACACACACACACUCACAAACACACUCACUCACUCACACUCACACACACACACACUCACUCACACUCACACAAACACACUCACACAAACACACUCACACACACACACACACACACACUCACAAACUCAACUCAAGCACAGUUGCGUCUAAAAGAAGAUGCUAACAGUCAUUAGCAAAGGUGUCAGUAUGGACAGUUGCUGACAGUUAUUAUCCCAUUCAGAGGAGGAUGUGUGUGUUCAGAGGAUGUGUGUGUGUGAGUUUGACAAUGAAUCUGGGAUUUGAAGAGACUUUUGGCAGCGAAGGCUAGUUUGCGAAUGACUAACUGCUUCAGUGACUUCACACCGCUAGUUACUGGAUGGACUGCAGGACUGCUAUGUGUGAAUACCCUCAUUCUGCAAAGCUGAUCAAUAGCGAUCAAUAGUAGGUAUGAUUUAUUUCAGCAGUAAGGGUAUGUCUUAGGGAGGUCAGAUGAGAAAAAACCCUUGCCAAUAAGUGAUUAAUAAUAUAAUGAUCAAUGAUGAGUUUAGCUAUGCUACAUUUCUGCUGAUCCGCCUCUUCCCGCAUUCUUCCCUGUUAAACAAGGUUCGCUGUUUUUCAGCUUUUUGUUGUUGUUUUUCUGGAUAUUUAGCAUCUUUCUGCACAUGUUUACUUGAACGACUGUUUUUGUGACCUCACGUAUUUGUCUGGUAUUGUUCCUGAAUGUUUUGUAUUUGUGCUAUAGCGUGCUUCUCAGUCCCUAAAUGUUUGUUUGUUUUUGUGCUGUAGUGUGCUCCUGAGUGGAUGUGUGUGUGUGUGUGUAUGUGUGUGUGUGUGUGUGUGUGUGUGUGUGUGUGUGUGUAUGGAAUACAUUAGAUAUUGUGUGUUUUUUAAAGCAUUUACUUUUCAGGUCUUGGUCCAUGUUUAUGAGCUUUUUUACUUUCCUUCAUGCUUUUAUUUGCUUGUUUGUGUGUGUGUGUGUGUGCGUGUGUGAGAAAAAGAGAGAGAGAGGAAGGGAGAGAGAGAGAGAGUGUUAACAGGUUGCUUUGCAGGAGUCAUUGCUCAAGAGAUUACUUGCCACAGUGAUCAGAGAUUUUGUCAUAAUUUAGCUUUUUAUAUUUGUAUUUGUUUGUUUUUACUUGUUCUUAUUGUGGGUAAACUUGGUAUUUUGUAUGAGUGAACCUUGCUUAUUGAAGAGAAGGAGUGUGUCGCCGUCAUUGUUCAGCUACCUCUUAUGUUCUUUUGUGCUCGUCUUGCAAGAAAAAAAAGCACAUUACCUGUGUCGAGUCGUUGCCAUGCCAGCUCACUCUCUCAUGUCUGCGUGUGUUUGUGAGCGAUGUUUAUUUAAAGGGUUUGAUUGGCUGAAGUUGUUUUGUAUUAAAAAGUGAAACAAAAACCGGUUUUUGUCAUUCUACUCAAUGUGAUACAUUUAAUUACAUUACCUAAG
Long non-coding RNA from Clupea harengus (Atlantic herring), 1708 nucleotides. Lineage: Eukaryota; Metazoa; Chordata; Actinopteri; Clupeiformes; Clupeidae. The record is from Ensembl.